This 1491-nucleotide ribosomal RNA is filed under the name uncultured Bordetella sp. RNAcentral describes it as "partial 16S-23S ribosomal RNA intergenic spacer". It matches the Rfam family "Bacterial small subunit ribosomal RNA". The record is from RNAcentral. Lineage: Bacteria; Pseudomonadati; Pseudomonadota; Betaproteobacteria; Burkholderiales; Alcaligenaceae.
GUUCGAUUAUGGCUCAGAUUGAGCGCUGGUGGUCGCUUUACAUGCAAGUCGGAGCAGCCAGCACGGACUUCGGUCUGGUGGCGAGUGGCGAACGGGUGAGUAAUGUAUCGGAACGUGCCUAAUAGCGAAGAUAACUACGCGAAAGCGUAACUAAUACCAUACGCCCUUCGGGGAAAGCGGGGGGACCUUCCCGGGCCUCGCACUAUUGAAGCAGCCGAUAUCGGAUUAGCUAGUUGGUGGGGUAACGGCCACCGAGGCGACGGUCGUAGCUGGUUUUUUAAAGAGAGGACGACCAGCCACGACACUGGGACUGAGACCUGGCCCAGACUCCUACGAGGCAGCAGUGGGGAAUUUUGGACAAUGGGAAACCUGAUCCAGCAUCAUCCCGCGUGUGCGAUGAAGGCCUUCAGUUGUAAAGCACUUUUGGCGGGAAAAACGGCACGGGAUAAUACCCGUGCAACUGACAGUACCUGCAGAAUAAGCACCACAUUAACUACGUGCCAGCAGCCGCGGUAAUACGUAGGGUGCAAGCGUUAAUCGGAAUUACUGGGCGUAAGGCGUGCGCAGGCGGUUCGGAAAAGAAAGAUGUGAUCCCAGAACUUAACUUUGGAACUGCAUUUUUAACUACCGAGCUAGAGUGUGUCAGAGGAGGUGGAAUUCCACGCGAUGUGAGUGAAAUGCGUAGAUAUGCGGAGGAACACCGAUGGCGAAGGCGGCCUCCUGGGAUAACACUGACGCUCAUGCUACGAAAAGCGUGGGGAGCAAACAGGAUUAGAUACCCUGGUAGUCCACGCCCUAAGCAAUCAACUAAUGUUGGGGCCUUCAGGCCUUGGUAGCGCAGCUAACGCGUGAAGUUAUUACCGCCUGGGAAAUUGCAGUCGCAAAGAUUAAAACUCAAAGAAAUUGACGGGGACCCGCACAAGCGGUGGAUGAUGUGGAUUAAUUCGAUGCAACGCGAAAAACCUUACCUACCCUUGACAUGUCUGGAAUCCCGAAGAGAUUUGGGAGUGCUCGCAAGAGAACCGGAACACAGGUGCUGCAUGGCUGUCGUCAGCUCGUGUCGUGAAUGUUGGGUUAGUCCCGCAACAGGCGCAACCCUUGUCAUUGGUGCUACGAAAGGGCACUCUAAUGAGACUGCCGGUAAACAAACCGGAGGAAGGUGGGGAUGACGUCAGGAUCCUCAUGGCCCUUAUGGGUAGGGCUUCACACGUCAUACAAUGGUCGGGACAGAGGUCGCCAACCCGCGAGGGGAGCCAAUCCCAGAAACCCGAUCAUAGUCCGGAUCGCAGUCUGCAACUCGACUGCGUGAAGUCCGGAAUCGCUAGUAAUCGCGGAUCAGCAUGUCGCGGUGAAUGCGUUCCCGGGUCUUGUACGCACCGCCCGUCACACCAUGAAAUUGGGUUUUACCAGAAGUAGUUAGCCCUAACCGUAAGGAGGGCGAUUACCACGGUAGGAUUUCAUGACCUGGGGUGAGAGUCGUAACAAAGGUAG